AGAGCGAACGCUGGCGGCAGGCCUAAUACAUGCAAGUCGAACGGAUCCUUCGGGAUUAGUGGCGGACGGGUGAGUAACACGUGGGAACAUACCUUUUGGUUCGGAACAACACAGGGAAACUUGUGCUAAUACCGGAUAAGCCCUUACGGGGAAAGAUUUAUCGCCGAAAGAUUGGCCCGCGUCUGAUUAGCUAGUUGGUGAGGUAACGGCUCACCAAGGCGACGAUCAGUAGCUGGUCUGAGAGGAUGAUCAGCCACAUUGGGACUGAGACACGGCCCAAACUCCUACGGGAGGCAGCAGUGGGGAAUAUUGGACAAUGGGCGCAAGCCUGAUCCAGCCAUGCCGCGUGAGUGAUGAAGGCCCUAGGGUUGUAAAGCUCUUUGUGCGGGAAGAUAAUGACGGUACCGCAAGAAUAAGCCCGGCUAACUUCGUGCCAGCAGCCGC
This 444-nucleotide ribosomal RNA is filed under the name uncultured bacterium. RNAcentral's name for it is "SSU rRNA". It matches the Rfam family "Bacterial small subunit ribosomal RNA", at positions 26 to 518 of the family's 1533-position model. The record is from RNAcentral.